UGCCAGGAAAGAAUUAUUCAAGCCCUUCCCAGAAGGUAUCCUUCUGGCAAGGGUACUGUACUAAACUAACUAAAGUGGGGGAUAGUGAGGGGAUAAAUUUUCUUAAGGAACUCGGCAAAAUCCCAAUGGCCCACCAGGGCAUAUUGGAACACGGGCCUCGACUGUUUACCAAAAACAUAGCCCUCGGCUAAUAUGAAAAUAGAUGUAUAGAGGGUGAUGCCUGCCCAAUGGUUGUAUCUAAAAGCGGUUGAUAAAAGUUGACCUCGUAAGGACAAUUGAAUGGCCGCGGUAACACUGACCGUGAUAAUGUAGCGUAAUCAAUAGCCAAUUAAUUGUUGGCCAGUAUGAAUGGCGCCACGAAGGCCCCACUGUCUUAAGGAAAUUCCCAGUGAAAUUGAAUUCGUAGUGAAGAUGCUACGUCCAAUUUGUUAGACGAAAAGACCCCGUUGAGCUUUACUGGAGCACUUACAUGGCCCCGGCCUUCCCAUGCCUGGGAACCGGCCGAAUUUAAAUGGGCGGCUUAGAUUAUGUGGCAGCCCCCCGCUGGGGCAAAUGAAACACCACUCCCCCAUGUCAAAGGGGCUAACCCCCCCCCUUGGGGGGACAGUGUAAGUAGGACAGUUUGGUUGGGGCGACCACCUUUUAAAAAGUAACGAAGGUGCGCUUAAGGUGCGCAAUUAAUGACUGAAGCCUGACUGCGAGGGGGACACCCCGAGCAGACACCCCAAAGCCCGCCCGAAWGGCGGCGGUGGGGUGGGCCAUAGUGACCC
RNAcentral lists this ribosomal RNA (770 nucleotides) under Zoanthus cf. sansibaricus MQ55. RNAcentral describes it as "partial 16S ribosomal RNA". It matches the Rfam family "Bacterial large subunit ribosomal RNA", at positions 1581 to 2421 of the family's 2925-position model. The record is from RNAcentral. Lineage: Eukaryota; Metazoa; Cnidaria; Anthozoa; Zoantharia; Zoanthidae.